UACGUAGGGUGCGAGCGUUAAUCGGAAUUACUGAGCGUAAAGCGUGCGCAGGCGGUUUUGUAAGCCAGAUGUGAAAUCCCCGGGCUUAACCUGGGAAUGGCAUUUGGGACUGCAAGGCUUGAGUGCGGCAGAGGAGACUGGAAUUCCUGGUGUAGCAGUGAAAUGCGUAGAUAUCAGGAGGAACACCGAUGGCGAAGGCAGGUCUCUGGGCUGACACUGACGCUCAUGCACGAAAGCGUGGGGAGCAAACAGG
Molecule: ribosomal RNA, 253 nt
Filed under: uncultured bacterium
Lineage: Bacteria
Description: partial 16S ribosomal RNA
Rfam family: Bacterial small subunit ribosomal RNA
Source: RNAcentral